AGCACCGUAGUCGGCGUAAUAAGUUUCGUCGGUGAAGGUUGUGAUGACUGCUUACAAUCGCCCUCGGGCAAUUUUUGACUCUGACCUCAAAUCAGGUAGGACUACCCGCUGAACUUAAGCAUAUCAAUAAGCGGAGGAAAAGAAACUAACAAGGAUUCCCCUAGUAGCGGCGAGCGAAGCGGGAAGAGCUCAAAUUUGAAAGCUGGCGUCCUUCGGGCGUCCGCAUUGUAAUCUAUAGAGGCGUUUUCUGUGCUGGACCGUGUCCAAGUCCCUUGGAACAGGGUAUCAAAGAGGGUGACAAUCCCGUACUUGACACGACAACCAGUGCUCUGUGAUACGUCUUCUACGAGUCGAGUUGUUUGGGAAUGCAGCUCAAAAUGGGUGGUGAAUUCCAUCUAAAGCUAAAUAUUGGCGAGAGACCGAUAGCGAACAAGUACCGUGAGGGAAAGAUGAAAAGCACUUUGGAAAGAGAGUUAAACAGUAUGUGAAAUUGUUGAAAGGGAAACGAUGGAGGUCAGUCGUGUCUGUGGGAUUCAGCCGUCUCUGGCGGUGUACUUCCCACAGACGGGUCAACAUCAGUUUUGGUCGGCGGAUAAAGGCAGGAGGAAGGUGGCACCCCCGGGUGUGUUAUAGCCUCUUGUUGCAUACGCUGGCCGAGACUGAGGAAUGCAGCUCGCCUUUAUGGCCGGGGUUCGCCCACGU
RNAcentral lists this ribosomal RNA (702 nucleotides) under Saitozyma podzolica. RNAcentral's name for it is "eukaryotic LSU rRNA". The stretch from base 82 to 702 matches the Rfam family "Eukaryotic large subunit ribosomal RNA", at positions 1 to 635 of the family's 3401-position model. The record is from RNAcentral. Lineage: Eukaryota; Fungi; Basidiomycota; Tremellomycetes; Tremellales; Trimorphomycetaceae.